ACGCUCGACACCUACAGGAGGCAGCAGUCGGGAAUAUUGCGCAAUGGAGGAAACUCUGACGCAGUGACGCCGCGUAUAGGAAGAAGGUUUUCGGAUUGUAAACUAUUGUCGUUAGGGAAGAAAAAGACAGUACCUAAGGAGGAAGCUCCGGCUAACUACGUGUCAGCAGCCGCGGUAAUCUGAGCGGGCUGGCAAGGC
RNAcentral lists this ribosomal RNA (198 nucleotides) under uncultured bacterium. RNAcentral describes it as "partial 16S ribosomal RNA". It matches the Rfam family "Bacterial small subunit ribosomal RNA", at positions 328 to 539 of the family's 1533-position model. The record is from RNAcentral.